GUGCCAGCAGCCGCGGUAAUACCGGCAGCCCGAGUGAUGGCCGAUAUUAUUGGGCCUAAAGCGUCCGUAGCUGGCCGAACAAGUCCGUCGGGAAAUCCACGUGCUUAACGCGUGGGCGACCGGCGGAAACUGUCCGGCUUGGGGCCGGAGGACCCGAGGGGUACGUCCGGGGUAGGAGUGAAAUCCCGUAAUCCUGGACGGACCGCCGAUGGGGAAACCACCUCAGGAGAACGGAUCCGACAGUGAGGGACGAAAGCCAGGGUCUCGAACCGGAUUAGAUACCCGAGUAGUCC
RNAcentral lists this ribosomal RNA (293 nucleotides) under uncultured bacterium. RNAcentral describes it as "partial 16S ribosomal RNA". It matches the Rfam family "Archaeal small subunit ribosomal RNA", at positions 455 to 747 of the family's 1478-position model. The record is from RNAcentral.